GAUCAUGGCUCAGGAUGAACGCUAGCUACAGGCUUAACACAUGCAAGUCGAGGGGCAGCGGGAUUGAAGCUUGCUUCAAUUGCCGGCGACCGGCGCACGGGUGAGUAACGCGUAUCCAACCUUCCGUACACUCAGGGAUAGCCUUUCGAAAGAAAGAUUAAUACCUGAUGGUAUCUUAAGCACACAUGUAAUUAAGAUUAAAGAAUUUAUCGGUGUACGAUGGGGAGUGCGUUCCAUUAGGUAGG
RNAcentral lists this ribosomal RNA (245 nucleotides) under uncultured bacterium. RNAcentral's name for it is "partial 16S ribosomal RNA". It matches the Rfam family "Bacterial small subunit ribosomal RNA", at positions 15 to 249 of the family's 1533-position model. The record is from RNAcentral.